Musa acuminata AAA Group (dessert banana) is the source of this 959-nucleotide long non-coding RNA. RefSeq lists it as uncharacterized. Lineage: Eukaryota; Viridiplantae; Streptophyta; Magnoliopsida; Zingiberales; Musaceae. The transcript is spliced from 2 exons. The record is from RefSeq and is a predicted model, not a curated record.
GUCCCUCCUCUCGCGUAGCGCUCUCUCGUCCGUAGAUUGUGAUCUCUUCAAGACGAUCGGGAAGGAAGAGCGAAUGGCGAUCGUAGCCUACGUCGUCUUCACCGGCACUGAAUCGCUCAUCGGCAACGUCGCCGCCAUCCCCAUCCACACCCGUCUUCGACAACUCCAUGUGAACUUGAUCGAGCUGGCCUCUGGCAGAUACCAGUUCAGCAUGUGAAUCACUCCAAGAUAUGUGCUGCUCAGGAAUCACAUCCUUCCUUUUCUCUGUCUUUAUGCGAAUAUCCAUGUGUAUCCCUCCGUCGAGGGUGGCGUGUACUCAACCAAGUAUUUGUGGUGCUCUGUGUCAGCUUAACUGUUGCAUCACACGCUCCUUAGCAAAGCAUCCUUGGAGAAGGAUCUGCUUCUCUUUGGGGGGGUCUCAUGAGAUCAUGUUGCUUGGUGGGUGCUUGCAGGCUUCUCGUGGAGAGUGCAGGAUGCCUGAGUACUCCUAGUUCAAACGAGUGAAUCUGAGCCAUGCAUAGCAGAUUGCAAACCCGAGGUAAACAACUUAUAAUUCCAUCAGUCUGUGUCUUCAUCAUGAUCUGGUUGUUUAUAUCAUCUUUCUCGCUGAAUAACUAUCUGCCACAUCCGUAGUCCCUGGCUCAAUGAUUGCUCACAUGGGUGUUAGCUUGGACUUCAACAUCAGCAUUCGAGAUUGGCAUAUUUCGGUCCUCUUCACUGACAUGAGAUGCUCUCCUUGUGGAGCCCACAUGCUCCUGCACAUCAUUUCUCUCUUCAAUCAUUUGCCUCCUCACCCCAUGUCUUCUUUGGAAUCCUCACGCUAGAUGAUAUUCCAUUCCUAACAUAUUUCGUCAGGAAGAAAAACUAGUUCAUAAUUUCUUCUGUGCUUCAUAACUUGUGAAACCCUUUAUUGGAGGAUGCCUUUUCCUUUGAGAAUAUGAAGCAAACCGCAAGCACAA